Molecule: ribosomal RNA, 254 nt
Filed under: uncultured bacterium
Lineage: Bacteria
Description: partial 16S ribosomal RNA
Rfam family: Bacterial small subunit ribosomal RNA
Source: RNAcentral
UACGUAGGGCGCAAGCGUUGUCCGGAAUUAUUGGGCGUAAAGAGCUCGUAGGCGGCCUGUUGCGUCCGCUGUGAAAUCCCGGGGCUCAACCCCGGGCCUGCAGUGGAUACGGGCUGGCUAGAGGCAGGCAGGGGAGAACGGAAUUCCGUGGUGUAGCGGUGAAAUGCGCAGAUAUCAGGAGGAACACCGGUGGCGAAGGCGGUUCUCUGGGCCUGUACUGACGCUGAGGAGCGAAAGCGUGGGGAGCGAACAGG